ACUGAGUCGCUGUUACGCUGGUUAUUCAGACGUUCGUUCGGUGGUCCCUUUUUGGAAUGUGUGACGCAAGAUGCUCUAUUUACCGAACGACUCAUUUCUAUCACCGAUCGAUUAUCAUUGCCGCAACUUCGCGGAAGGAAGGAAUCGUGGAGUCACCAGGACGUAACAA
Molecule: long non-coding RNA, 169 nt
Organism: Formica exsecta
Lineage: Eukaryota; Metazoa; Arthropoda; Insecta; Hymenoptera; Formicidae
Exons: 2
Source: RefSeq, a predicted model, not a curated record